UACAGAGGUCCCAAGCGUUGUUCGGAUUUACUGGGCGUAAAGGGUGCGUAGGCGGUUGGGUAAGUCUGACGUGAAAUCUCCGGGCCUAACCCGGAAACUGCGUUGGAUACUACCUGACUAGAGGAAUGGAGGGGAGACUGGAAUACUUGGUGUAGCAGUGAAAUGCGUUGAUAUCUACAGGAACUCCGGUGGCGAAAGCGGCGCGCUGGACCUCUUCUGACGCUGAGGCGCGAAAGCUAGGGGAGCAAACGGG
This 253-nucleotide ribosomal RNA is filed under the name uncultured bacterium. RNAcentral describes it as "partial 16S ribosomal RNA". It matches the Rfam family "Bacterial small subunit ribosomal RNA", at positions 524 to 776 of the family's 1533-position model. The record is from RNAcentral.